This 228-nucleotide long non-coding RNA is filed under the name Salvia miltiorrhiza (redroot sage). RNAcentral's name for it is "long non-coding RNA (SMIL_LNC013588)". The record is from RNAcentral. Lineage: Eukaryota; Viridiplantae; Streptophyta; Magnoliopsida; Lamiales; Lamiaceae.
UCGCAUCAUAAAUCCACGACAGAUUAUUCAUAAUUUAGUACAUGACUCUAUCAACUUAUCAUAUAAUUAUCCAAUAAUUUAGCAAGUUGUCUUAAACAGAAAAUAAGCAGGUCCAUAAUGUGGUCGGGCCCAAAUACUUGGAACAUAACCUCGGCCCGAAGUGGAGCCCAACUAUGUAAUGGGUCAAUUUUUCGUUUACAAAUAAGCCAUUGGUUUAUUGAAUCACCC